AGGAUAGACCAGCAUAGAAAAGAAAGAGAUACAGAGGACUCGGGCACAGCUGUCCAGAGGAGCUGUGGGUGCCCUAUCCCUUGAGGAGACGAUGGAAGUUCAGUCAGACCCCCGGUUGCUGUUGCUGGGAUACGGUCAGCAGGAAAACGCAGUAAAAGGAGAGGCUGGGUCUGAAGACUGGAGGACUAUCAAACGUGUGCAGAAAUGACCCUUGUCUUGUGCCUGGAUGUUCAGCCAGUGAGGACCUGAGCAAGAAGGGACAGUACUUGCAUAAAAAAUAUUACUUUGUUUUGGCAUUCAGCUUUAUCUGAACUAACAGUAGAUGAACGUAACCACUGCCCAGUCCCAGCUGUGUCAUUGGUCUUUUGGUGAUGGCAGUCAGCUGCCUCCCUCUACACCAGCAGAAGAGGAUUACACUUGGAGCUCUGUGACUCGUUCUUCCUUGCUUCUAAAUUUCCUCCAUGGAAAAUGAAAGUAAUGGAAAUAAAAAGCUUUUUUGCACUUGAAAAUCCAGUGUAAUUCCUGCUCCCAAGUGUUCCCGAAUAUUCCCGAGUGCCAUCUGCUGGCACCUCCUCGUAACGCUCAUAACAGCUCUCCAUCCCGCGCAGUCCCUAAGGGCUGCACAGAGCUGCCUUUGUGGACACACAUGCCGCAGCCCACAGUGAGCUUGGUUGCCCCAUCACUGAGUCAGAAGCAGGGUGUAUAAAU
RNAcentral lists this long non-coding RNA (708 nucleotides) under Gallus gallus (chicken). RNAcentral's name for it is "lncRNA (ENSGALG00010010272.1)". The record is from RNAcentral. Lineage: Eukaryota; Metazoa; Chordata; Aves; Galliformes; Phasianidae.